Molecule: ribosomal RNA, 413 nt
Filed under: uncultured bacterium
Lineage: Bacteria
Description: partial 16S ribosomal RNA
Rfam family: Bacterial small subunit ribosomal RNA
Source: RNAcentral
AAUAUUGCACAAUGGAGGAAACUCUGACGCAGCGACGCCGCGUGAGCGAUGGAGGUCUUCGGAUCGUAAAGCUCUGUCCUUGGGGAAGAAGGGAGCCGUAAGGCCUCUUGCCGGUACCCAUGGAGGAAGCCCCGGCCAACUACGUGCCAGCAGCCGCGGUCAUACGUAGGGGGCAAGCGUUGUCCGGCAUUAUUGGGCGUAAAGGGUGCGUAGGCGGCCCUUUAAGUCAGAUGUGAAAGCCCACGGCUUAACCGUGGGAAUGCAUUUGAAACUGGAGGGCUUGAGUGUCGGAGAGGGCAGUGGAAUUCCCAGUGUAGCGGUGGAAUGCGUAGAUAUUGGGAGGAACACCAGUGGCGAAGGCGACUGCCUGGACGAUAACUGACGCUGAGGUACGAAAGCGUGGGUAGCGAACA